GUAGGGAAUAUUGCAAAAUGGGCGAAAGCCCGAUGCAGCAACGCCGCGUGGGCGAUGAAGGCCUUCGGGUCGUAAAGCCCUUUUUGAGGGGAUGAGGAAGGACAGUACCCUCAGAAUAAGCCUCGGCUAACUACGUGCCAGCAGCCGCGGUAAAACGUAGGAGGCGAGCGUUAUCCGGAUUUACUGGGCGUAAAGCGCGUGCAGGCGGAUUGGAGAGUUGGAUGUGAAAGCUCCCGGCUUAACUGGGAGAGGUCGUUCAAUACUUCCAGUCUUGAGUGUAGUAGAGGGAAGUGGAAUUCCGGGUGUAGUGGUGAAAUGCGUAGAGAUCCGGAGGAACACCAGUGGCGAAAGCGGCUUCCUGGACUGUAACUGACGCUCAGACGCGAAAGCUAGGGUAGCAAACG
Molecule: ribosomal RNA, 404 nt
Filed under: uncultured bacterium
Lineage: Bacteria
Description: bacterial SSU rRNA
Rfam family: Bacterial small subunit ribosomal RNA
Source: RNAcentral